CGUGACAUAAAGGACAGUCUGCGGGUCCCCCUCCCCCGAGCUGCUGUUGUGCUCCAUGUCUGAAGAUGUUUCCUUUUUUCGUUCUUUGCUCUAGUUACGAGGAUCCUGACAAGUGCCUGCUUCUCUAUGGUGAUGAUCAGGGAUGUGUGAGCAUUCUGCUUUUGGCUUCUGUCGGUGAACUAUUAAGGCAUGAAACAGCAAUACAAUGCCAUUAUUAUCUUUGGAGAGACAAGAUGGAAUCCAUUAAAUAAGAAGAUGCCAGUACAGAGGAAAAUCCAGAGGGGAAAAAAGAAUUCUUGGAAAUUAAAAUUGUGAUUUUAAAUAUUUAACUUAAUAAAACGGUUGGAAGAUAAUAUUUUCCCAGAAGGCAGAACAACAACAACAACAACAGAAAAAAAGUGAAAUAAAGAGAAAAGAUUAACAAAAACUAUAUGACCAGUCUGGGAAGUACAAUAUUCCAAUACUAUGCAAACAAAAAGAGAAAAGAGAGAGAAGAAAAGAAUCCAAUAGUUUAAGAACAUUUUCCAAAACAGUGAGAGCAAAGAGAAGAUUUUAGAAGUGUCCAGAGGAGACAAGUCAGCUCACCAUGCAGAGGAUCGGGACUCGGUAAUGGAUCUGAAUUUCACCACAGAAGAACUGGGAGCUAGAAAGCAAAGCGGCAAUUCCUUCAAAAAUGGAAGGAAAAUUGUCUCCAGUGUGGCAUUCUAUAUCCUGGUAAACUAUUACUGAAAUUUGAGGGUGGAAUAAAGUCAUCUGCAAAGAUGUAAAGGUUCCAAAAGUACUUCCCAUAUAGGUAUCCUUCUCAGGAAACCAAUGAAGGAUUUUCUCUGUUAACUGAAGGGGAAAACUGCAACGAAGAUGACCUGGGACAGGAAAACAAGAGACGCAAAGAAGCAGAAUAGCAAAUAGCAUUCUCAGGAUGAUGGGGAAGGAAGGACCUGAAGGGCAGCAGAGUACAUCACUCCAAAUAUGCCUUUUUGCCAUAAGGAUUAUUUCAGGCUGAUUAUUUUUAUACAGCAGGCACAGGAGGAGCUCUGAAAGCUAAGUAGAAGUUACCUUUUUGUAAGAGCAUUUUACAUUUAUAAGGGGAAUCUCCCUAUGUAGGGGUGUCUUCCUGGAAUGGUGCAGUCCAUGAGGUUGCAAGAAUCAGACAUGACUUGGUGACCAGACAACAACAACCUCUCUGUAUCAAAGAGGCGGAUGACCAAAUCUCUAGAAAGUUGAUGAGUGAUGAGUGGAGAAGAUAUGACUUAAAUCUGUCCAAUGACCUUACCAUUGUUUACUGUGUUUUGCCUGAUAAUCUCCCAUAACUGGCUCCCUCACACACGUC
Molecule: long non-coding RNA, 1330 nt
Filed under: Capra hircus (goat)
Lineage: Eukaryota; Metazoa; Chordata; Mammalia; Artiodactyla; Bovidae
Description: lncRNA (ENSCHIG00010004881.1)
Source: RNAcentral